GAGUUUGAUCCUGUGCUCAGGAUGAACGCUAGCGGCAGGCUUCAUACCAUGCUAAGUCGCAGGGGCAGCCAUAAUAUUACUUAGUANUUUAGAUGGCGAUCCGGCGAAUCGGGUGACGUAACGCGUAUGCUACUGUACCUUUUACUACGAGAAUAGCCGAAGAGAAAUUUUGAUUAAUGCUCUAUGUUCUUAUUUACUCGGCAUGAGUAACAUAAGCAAAGCUCCGGGCGGUAAAAGAUGGGCAUGCGUCCUAUUAGCUUGUAGGUGAGGUAAUGGCUCACCUAAGCUCCGAUAGGUAGGGGUCCUGAGAGGGAGAUCCCCCACACUGGUACUGAGACACGGACCAGACUUCUACGGAAGGCAGCAGUAAGGAAUAUUGGACAAUGGAGGCAACUCUGAUCCAGCCAUGCCGCGUGAAGGAAGACGGCCUUAUGGGUUGUAAACUUCUUUUAUACAGGGAAGAAACCUUUCCCACGUGUGGAAAGCUGACGGUACUGUAAGAAUAAGGAUCGGCUAACUCCGUGCCAGCAGCCGCGGUAAUACGGAGGAUCCAAGCGUUAUCCGGAAUUACUGGGCGUAAAGCGCACGCAGGCGGUUGGUUAACGUCCGAUGUGGACAGCCCCGGGCUCAACCUGGGGAACUGCAUUUGAUAACU
RNAcentral lists this ribosomal RNA (655 nucleotides) under uncultured Flavobacterium sp. RNAcentral describes it as "bacterial SSU rRNA". It matches the Rfam family "Bacterial small subunit ribosomal RNA", at positions 9 to 638 of the family's 1533-position model. Lineage: Bacteria; Pseudomonadati; Bacteroidota; Flavobacteriia; Flavobacteriales; Flavobacteriaceae. The record is from RNAcentral.